RNAcentral lists this small nuclear RNA (119 nucleotides) under Sorghum bicolor (sorghum). RNAcentral describes it as "snRNA U5". It matches the Rfam family "U5 spliceosomal RNA". From Rfam's summary of the family: U5 RNA is a component of both types of known spliceosome. The precise function of this molecule is unknown, though it is known that the 5' loop is required for splice site selection and p220 binding, and that both the 3' stem-loop and the Sm site are important for Sm protein binding and cap methylation. The record is from Rfam by way of RNAcentral. Lineage: Eukaryota; Viridiplantae; Streptophyta; Magnoliopsida; Poales; Poaceae.
AGUUGCGCCGUGGACACAAAGCGAACUAUUCUUUCGCCUUUUACUAAAGAAUACCGUGUGUCCGCUGCAAUAAGCAACAUACUCUGAUUUUUGGAGGGUUUCUUCUCUCUUGAGAGGAU